This 1069-nucleotide long non-coding RNA is filed under the name Anas platyrhynchos platyrhynchos (common mallard). RNAcentral's name for it is "lncRNA (ENSAPLG00000029237.1)". The record is from RNAcentral. Lineage: Eukaryota; Metazoa; Chordata; Aves; Anseriformes; Anatidae.
CAGAAAUGCUGGGCAGCAGGGAAAGGACACAAAUUCACACAACUCAAAAUUAAGUCUACAGCUAUAUUCAAAAAUCAUCCUCAAGCCACUUGAACAACCUGAGCCUCCUUGCUUUCUCUGUUUAAGGCUUUGCAGUUCCCACUGAAGUGUUUCAUAACAAACUUAAUUAACCCCCCAAUCAUGCAGCCAGAUAUAUUUCAGGUGGGUUUUCCAUUAGCAAGUUUUCUGUGCCCAAAGAUUACAUCACAUCACUAAACUCACUUGGCUAUAGCAGGUGACACAAGCCAAAGAAGAAAGAAAGAAAAUUGCUUGUUUAAGAGAGAGAGGUCAUGAGUGAGAGGAGAGCUUUCACAUUCAGUAUGGAGGAGCCAGGAUUUCUCAGAUGACUCUGAAGCAGAUCUAACAGAUGUUGAUGAGAAAGCAAUUGAGCUUCUUACAGAGGAAGAACUUGGAUCCAAGUGGAUUAUUCAUGGGGUAUUCUCAAUGCAUAAAGCGGUGCCAGAAUGAACGAUGACUGAAGAAGUUCUGAAUGCGCAGUUCUGAAUGCACCACUCAUUUCUCACAGUGAGUGGUGGAUGUUGGUAACCCACACAGGACUGUAAGCAGCAACUGGAAAGCCUGGCUGAGCGAUGAGAUUUAAAGAACAAGCUGAUGUUCAGUCACUGUGGUAUUUAUUGCAGCAAACUACAUCUUAAAAUUACUGGUUAUCUUGGAAAUGGCUGCGGACUAGUCAGGCUGUAAAACUGUCAGUUUUACUAAGAUAUGGGCACUGAAUUCAUGCUUGUUUUCAGUGAUGUGAGAAAAAUAGAAGACAGUCAUCAAAAGUGUCUUCAAAAGGAAAUGAGCCGGCUAUCAUGUUGAAAAUGGCUGUUUUGUCUCUUUGAAUUCUGGUCUGAGAAACAAGCUUUCAUACUGAUUUCAGGUUUGAAGGCACAGGUGAUUUAUGGCUGUCAAGAUUACCCUAAUUACCUGAGUUGUUCAUGUGUCUCAGUGAAUGGACUGCCAGUUUACAGGAAUUGAAAACUGUGUCUUUGAACCUUUACAAUAAAACCAGGGUAAUGAGAAAGCA